Molecule: ribosomal RNA, 253 nt
Filed under: uncultured bacterium
Lineage: Bacteria
Description: partial 16S ribosomal RNA
Rfam family: Bacterial small subunit ribosomal RNA
Source: RNAcentral
UACAGAGGGGGCGAGCGUUGUUCGGAAUUACUGGGCGUAAAGGGCGCGUAGGCGGCCCGCUAAGUCGAACGUGAAAUCCCCAGGCUCAACCUGGGAACUGCGUCCGAUACUGGCAGGCUUGAAUCCGGGAGAGGAUGGUGGAACUCCCAGUGUAGAGGUGAAAUUCGUAGAUAUUGGGAAGAACACCCGUGGCGAAGGCGGCCAUCUGGACCGGUACUGACGCUAAGGCGCGACAGCGUGGGGAGCAAACAGG